RNAcentral lists this long non-coding RNA (1710 nucleotides) under Homo sapiens (human). Its description in RNAcentral is "HSALNT0119447". Lineage: Eukaryota; Metazoa; Chordata; Mammalia; Primates; Hominidae. The record is from RNAcentral.
UGAAUGUUUGGGAAUGAGAGGAUAAAUGAGUGAUGCUUGAAAACAGACCACAUUGAAAAUCCUGCCACGGCAGCAGCUGCAGCCACCAACAGCAGUGGUGUUAGUGACCUAAGUAAGCACCGACUUCGUAGAAACCAGAACAUCAGCCAUCUUGGAAAAGAGAAAAACAAUGGAGUUACUUAUUUAAGAAAAACAAAAAACAAACAAACAAACAAAAAACACAACUAUUUCUUCCCAGGAGAGGCUAGAAGUAGCUUUUCUGCCUUCUGGCCGGAGCCAAUUGGAAUGACUGGUUUGGGAGAGGAGGAGGGGUUGUGUCAGCUGUGGUGCUUUGUUGUAAAAGGCAGCCUGACCUUUGCUACUGAGGAGAAAGAUGGAGCCGAGUCUCAAGCCCACCUUCUCUGUAUCUUUGCCACGUGGUACUGUAUGCCUGCCAGCUAGAAGGAAGAAUGUGAGCUCUACAGUGUCAGGCGUCUUGGAACUGGAUCAUGGCUCUGGAGCUCUACAAUCAGCAUGAGGCAAAGCCAGAUAAGCCUGCGACCUGCUCUUCAGGGUGGUGAGAUCCUCCAGACUCCAGCACCCAGAGAUGCUCUCCUGAGGCCCAGACCACCACUGCCAGCCAUGGAGGAGGAGUGGCGUUGGCGAUUCAGGACUGCUUUUUCUGUCUCUUCAGUGCCUCUCUCAGCAACAUGAAGGUAAAAACCAGGUUACACCUGUGGCCACAUGGAGGAGUCCUAAAUGACCAACUGAAGGAGAAGCAAAAAACCGAAGCAUGGCUUAUAAUGGGCCUGCUCAGUGUUUAGGCGCCAGCCAAAAAUGGGCAGCAGCUACCUUGCAGCCACACUCCAGGGUGAACUUGCAAGACUUCAACAAAUGGUACAUCUGGUCAGGUACUUUGUGUAGAAGGAAAAAUGAUCUGAGGUGAGCUGAAAUUAUUUUGAUUUUUAUCUGACAGAGGACAGGAGCCACAUUUUAAUCAUUUCCACAUCCCUACCACCAAAGAAGGACUCCACAAAUGUCUGUAUUUGAAUAGAGUGCCUAUUUAUGAUUAUCUCAUUGAAUAGAAAUAUAUUUGCCAUUUUAACAGAGAGUAAUGUAAUGAUGUCUUCUUACUUCCUACCUCCAAGUUUUUAUAAUCUUGGUAAUAAAGGCAAAGGCAUAAGAUGACUUGCCUGAAGACAAAUGUAGUUGUAAUAGCAUUUCACUUAGGUUUGAGUGAGUAUGUCUGUCCUAAGAGUUUUUGUGAACUAUAAACCUCUUUAGAAGAAGAGACUUUCAAUAUAGAAUUUUUCUUAUCCCCCCUCCCCCCAAAAAAAAGCAUAAAAAUGAAACAUAAAUAAAAUGCUCUAUCCAUGAGGGACUGAACUUAGAAUGUAGAUCCUCUGAUUCAAGGUUGGAUGCUAGACUACCCCCACUGGGCUUUGGAGAAAUCCAAGUGCAGUAACAGAAAAUAGCUCUUGACAGCUUCUCAGUACCUUUGACUGCUGGGUGCAAAGAACCCAGCUCGUCAUUAUGCUUUCCAGAGAGGGAGCUGGAGUUGGAGAGCAUAGUCUCCACUUUCCUGUUGGUAAUUUCUAUUCCUAUGGAGCAAAGGAAUGACAGUGACCUAUAAGGUCCCUGGUGGUGUGAGACUAGGGCCAGAAAGUCAGUGAGAAAAAGAACACUGAGUUAGUUUGAUUCUAUAUGGAAGGGAUGAAAAAUGUAAGAAAG